RNAcentral lists this ribosomal RNA (465 nucleotides) under Vreelandella stevensii. Its description in RNAcentral is "partial 16S ribosomal RNA". It matches the Rfam family "Bacterial small subunit ribosomal RNA", at positions 338 to 795 of the family's 1533-position model. Lineage: Bacteria; Pseudomonadati; Pseudomonadota; Gammaproteobacteria; Oceanospirillales; Halomonadaceae. The record is from RNAcentral.
CCUACGGGUGGCAGCAGUGGGGAAUAUUGGACAAUGGGCGAAAGCCUGAUCCAGCCAUGCCGCGUGUGUGAAGAAGGCCUUCGGGUUGUAAAGCACUUUCAGUGGGGAAGAAAGCCUUGGGGCUAAUACCCUCGAGGAAGGACAUCACCCACAGAAGAAGCACCGGCUAACUCCGUGCCAGCAGCCGCGGUAAUACGGAGGGUGCGAGCGUUAAUCGGAAUUACUGGGCGUAAAGCGCGCGUAGGCGGUCUGAUAAGCCGGUUGUGAAAGCCCCGGGCUCAACCUGGGAACGGCAUCCGGAACUGUCAGGCUAGAGUGCAGGAGAGGAAGGUAGAAUUCCCGGUGUAGCGGUGAAAUGCGUAGAGAUCGGGAGGAAUACCAGUGGCGAAGGCGGCCUUCUGGACUGACACUGACGCUGAGGUGCGAAAGCGUGGGUAGCAAACAGGAUUAGAUACUCCUGUAGUC